GGUUGCGAUCAUACCAGCACUAAUGCACCGGAUCCCAUCAGAACUCCGCAGUUAAGCGUGCUUGGGCGAGAGUAGUAUUAGGAUGGGUGACCCCCUGGGAAGUCCUCGUGUUGCAACCC
RNAcentral lists this ribosomal RNA (119 nucleotides) under Helianthus annuus (common sunflower). Lineage: Eukaryota; Viridiplantae; Streptophyta; Magnoliopsida; Asterales; Asteraceae. The record is from RNAcentral.